CUACGGGUGCUCCAGUGGGGAAUAUUGGACAAUGGGGGAAACCCUGAUCCAGCAAUGCCGCGUGUGUGAAGAAGGCCUGCGGGUUGUAAAGCACUUUCGGUUGGGAGGACUGCUUCUAGCACUAAUAUUGUUGGAAGUUGACGUUACCUUCAGAAGAAGCGCCGGCUAACUCCGUGCCAGCAGCCGCGGUAAUACGGAGGGUGCAAGCGUUAAUCGGAAUUACUGGGCGUAAAGCGCGCGUAGGCGGCUAGAUCAGUCGGGUGUGAAAGCCCCGGGCUUAACCUGGGAACUGCAUCCGAUACUGUCUAGCUUGAGUACAGGAGAGGAGAGUGGAAUUCCACAUGUAGCGGUGAAAUGCGUAGAUAUGUGGAGGAACACCAAUGGCGAAGGCAGCUCUCUGGCCUGAUACUGACGCUGAGGUGCGAAAGCGUGGGGAGCAGACAGGAUUAGAUACCCUCGUAGUC
Molecule: ribosomal RNA, 464 nt
Filed under: uncultured bacterium
Lineage: Bacteria
Description: partial 16S ribosomal RNA
Rfam family: Bacterial small subunit ribosomal RNA
Source: RNAcentral